Long non-coding RNA from Papaver somniferum (opium poppy), 3297 nucleotides. RefSeq lists it as uncharacterized. The transcript is spliced from 8 exons. The record is from RefSeq and is a predicted model, not a curated record. Lineage: Eukaryota; Viridiplantae; Streptophyta; Magnoliopsida; Ranunculales; Papaveraceae.
AUCAUGGUUGUAGCAAAGCUUCAUUUUUGGAGGUGCCAGCCCAACAGAUAUAGACGUUGUAUCCGUUGCGCACAGAUUAUCCGUCUGUCACCGGAUACAACCGUUGUACUUCAAUUGAUUUUAUUGUAAAUCAAUUACGGGCUUUAGUAUUUCUUUUUUAUUUGAUUCUUUGAUUUUUAUUUUCAUGAAAGUCUCUCUCUUUCUCAUCGUCUAGGUUUCAGUGAGAGAAGAGAAAAAUUUUCUCAGCAGUUUAAUCAAACCCAUCUUCAAUAGAUUUUAGGUUUCAACAAAUCUGAUAAGUUUUUCUCAUCAAUCAAUAAUGUAGUCUAAUCAAACCCCAUCUUCAUAACCCAUAUGAGUUUUUCUCAUCAAAACUGAAAUCUCGAUCUACAAAUUGUUUCCCUGAAAUAUAAAAAUCAAAUCAUUCAACCUCUGAUAUAAACUAGUUUAUUGGAUUAUCAUCAGGGAUUAAGGGGCCGUAGUAGACAGGGAAGCUGCUCAAAUUAAGUCAUGCACAGCUGUUCGUCCAAGAACCGCAAAGGCAGGAGUUGAACUUGGUGAAAACAUUGAUGACAAGAGCCCACAACAUGAAUUGUAUGAGUAUUUGGUCCCGAGUAUACUCCCUGUGUUGCUCCCGGUAAGCUCCCGGAGAAUCUCUACUUUCAGGAAAGACCACCUGAUACAGCGCUUCCAGAGGUCUACUUUCUGCAUCUAUUAUCUGGGAGAAGAAGGUCGAGAGGAUGCAUAUGAGAGAUGGGAUCCAGAUUCUGACGUUGAAGUUGAGGACUAGCGUAAACCUAUGGAAAACAACUCAUAGCCUGCAAGAGUGAAGAGAAUACUCGAACCUGAAGUACAAGUUAUGAUUGUGGGAGGGUAGGUUGACUGGGUUUGAACGGAUAACCUAGUGUAAAAUGACAUUUUGUUCCGAGGGGUCUGUUACCUAAUGUAUAAUGACAAAGUCUGUCAAGUAUGGAUGGAUUUUUUCAACCUGGACAUACUUAGAAGGUGUUCCGGAGUCAUUAGCGUAAAAGAAGAGGAAAUGGUGCAAAAUGGCCUAAUGAUUAUUUCACAACUGAUAUUUAGUGGCCCUUAUCCUAACAGAUGCAAUUGUGGAAGAAAUUGGAAGGAUGAUUUUACCUCAGAUUCGAGUUCCAAGUGGGUUUGAAGUGUUCAUCAGGGGUUUUGUUUGAAUACAGUUUUGGAGAGAGAUUGUUGAUGUUCAUGGCCGGAUUUGCAAAUGCAGUUUUGAAGGUAGCUGUUGGUAAUGAAUCUGAGUAAUGAGUCUGUGUUGCUGUUGAGCUCAAGAUGAGCUGACUUGAAUUGCAGAAUUGAGCUGAUGGGUGUUGGUAGCUGUGCUUGGAAUGCAGUGAAGAUGGAAUUACAGUUGCUGCUGAACUGAGAAAAGAAGCAGGCAGGCAGUGGCGGAACCAGAAAAUGAAUGUUGGGGUGGCUUGAAAACAAAGUGGCUUGACUUGGGCUGGCUUAAGCCUAUUAUUUAGGCUUGAUUUUUCGUAACCAAACACAAUUACAUUAUAAAAUUUAACCAAUUUUUGGACUUUGGGCUGGCUUAAGCCAGCCCAAGUCACUACAUGGAUCCGCCACUGCAGGCAGGGGUUCGAUGGUGCCAGCAUGAGGACAGUGCAGGUGGUAGCUGAUUUGCAGUUGAUACUGCAGUUAUGUUGGCUGAGUGCAGAUGGUGGUGGUAAUGUAGCUUUGUAGCUGAAAUUGCAGGUAUACAUGAGUCAUGGAAUGGAUGUUGUGUUGCAGGCGGGGAUGGUAGUGUGCAAGUGAUGCAGCAAUGAGGUUUACACUGAAAUGUGAGCUGCAGCUAUGGGUCAGAUGAGAAGAUCAAGAACCUGCUGCCAGUAUUUGAGUGUGACAGUGAAACGCCAAGAGAAGCUGAAUGAUGCCAAGAAAGCUAAUGCAAGAGCAGAAUGUUACAGAGAAAUGGCUACAACUUGGAGUUGAUACUGAUCUGUUAAUGGCGGAUAGGAGCUGAGAUGAUGCUGCUGGAAGAAUGAGAUGCUGCACUACAGCUGAGAUGCAGUGGAGUUAAUGGAAUGCGGCAAUAUACAGAUGGUAAUGGUGCUGAUGAUAGGCUAGCAGGUGCAAGUGUAAGUGCUGGUGGAAGGUGGAAGCUAAGAAGAGUCUUGCAAAGCUGGUAAAGAUCCAGAAAGUGGUAAAAUGGAUGAUACAGGAAAUGGGUCUCUUGAGCUGAGUUGAAUCUGUGUAAUAAUAGUAGAUGAUGCAAGAGGCUGUGAGGCAAAUAUAAAGCUGCAGGCAUGAAUUGGAGCCGAGUUGCGACUGGAAUUUCAGGUUUAGAAAGCAGUGGUCGAGUUUGUUAUGAAGCUGUGAUGGAUGGCAGUUAUGAGAAUGAGUUGGUGUUUGGCUGGGGACUGACUUAGAGUGCAAGAAGAGAUGGCAGAGAUGGGACUCUGGUGGUCGCAGUAUUGAUCAGAAUUGAUGGUAUGAGCAGGAAAGUGCAGUUGCUGCAAUGAGUUUGUUGGUGCUGAGAAGAAAUGAUGCAGAUGGAAUUGAUAUAUUCCAGAAUGGUUGGUGAUGUAUAUGUUGGUUGAGAUUUGCAGGUGAUGGCAGGGUUAGCAGGAAGAAUAGCUUGGUUCAGUGUUUGCAUUUACAAGGAAUGUCAUCAUUGGAAGAAAUGGAACUGCAGGAGAUUGAAGUGAUUUCUCAUAGUGGUGUAUAUGAUCUCGAGUUUGCUGAGAGAAUUUGCAGAGCUGGAGAUAGAGAUGGGUUUGAGUGGUUUCAGGGAAUGAAAUGUGCACUUGGUGGUGAGCUGUGAUGGGAGUGAUGGUUUGAGCUAAAUAGAAGACUGUCUAGUGCUGGUGCUGUUGAACCUGUGGAAUGGUGGGGGUGAGUAGAGAAGAUUAAAGCAGCACUGAAUGUGUUUGAAUUGUUAGAUGUAUGCCUAGGAUUGUUACAGGGAAAUGAAGACUAAAAUGGCCUGGAAUCGGCCGAAAAUCACCUAGAAAUAGACAUAACUCGGACAGAAUCGAAGUAUGAUGAGUUGACUCACCGAUCCAUGUCUGACUCAGAUGGGCUUGGCUUUUAUUUGACUGGGCUUGGCUAAUGGGCUGAGAGACUUAAAUUUGGAAGGAUUUUUUUGGGGACUACUCUUCAUUUUCUGGGUGUUGGGUGGAUAUUUGAAGUAAUUUUGAGUCACCCCUUAUCUAAUUCUUUUUCUAAUACCAAACUUGCCCUUGGUAAUAAAAUUGGUUAGUGUAUGAAUUAGUGAGUUAAUUAAUGAUUAGUGAGAUUAAAUUAAUAAUUUGAUUUUUU